Long non-coding RNA from Oncorhynchus masou masou (cherry salmon), 96 nucleotides. RefSeq lists it as uncharacterized. The record is from RefSeq and is a predicted model, not a curated record. The transcript has 3 exons. Lineage: Eukaryota; Metazoa; Chordata; Actinopteri; Salmoniformes; Salmonidae.
CAGCUAGAGGUUGGUCAACGACGGGGCAGCUAGAGGUUGGUCAACGACGGGGCAGCUAGAGGUUGGUCAACGACGGGGCAGCUAGAGGUUGGUCAA